This 253-nucleotide ribosomal RNA is filed under the name uncultured bacterium. RNAcentral describes it as "partial 16S ribosomal RNA". It matches the Rfam family "Bacterial small subunit ribosomal RNA", at positions 524 to 776 of the family's 1533-position model. The record is from RNAcentral.
UACAGAGGGUGCGAGCGUUGUCCGGAAUCACUGGGCGUAAAGGGCGCGUAGGUGGCGCUCCAAGUCCGUGGUGAAAGCUCGAUGCUUAACAUCGAGUCGGCCACGGAGACUGGAGGGCUCGAGCACUGUAGGGGCAGAUGGAAUUCCGGGUGUAGCGGUGGAAUGCGUAGAGAUCCGGAAGAACACCGGUGGCGAAGGCGGUCUGCUGGGCAGUUGCUGACACUGAGGCGCGACAGCGUGGGGAGCGAACAGG